CCAGUUUCAGAUCCCAAUGUUUUUAUGUCAACCCAGACCCUUACUGCUCCACCAAACCAACCAUAUCAAUCAGUUAUUAUUGCCCCACCAACCAUGCAGAGCCAGACCCCAACUUCUCAAACUCAGUAUCAUAUGCUUCCCAAUCCACCUUCCCAGCAAUAUUUGCAACCAUCAGGAGGGAUUAUGAACCCAUAUGGUUAUGGUAGCAUUCCGCCCUUGCCACCAGGGCCACCUCCACCCCCAUCUACACUACAUAUGGUGAAUCCAAUGGCUCCUUUGCCUCAGCAGCAAUCAAUACCAUUGGUUCAGCAGCCAGCUCUAUUAACUCGUCAUCAACCUAUGCCCUUGACUCAGCAACCCCCAGCACCUCCCAGUUUCCGG
RNAcentral lists this long non-coding RNA (381 nucleotides) under Vitis vinifera (wine grape). RNAcentral's name for it is "long non-coding RNA (VVIN_LNC002279)". The record is from RNAcentral. Lineage: Eukaryota; Viridiplantae; Streptophyta; Magnoliopsida; Vitales; Vitaceae.